RNAcentral lists this ribosomal RNA (483 nucleotides) under uncultured bacterium. RNAcentral describes it as "partial 16S ribosomal RNA". It matches the Rfam family "Bacterial small subunit ribosomal RNA", at positions 28 to 507 of the family's 1533-position model. The record is from RNAcentral.
GACGAACGCUGGCGGCGUGCUUAACACAUGCAAGUCGAACGCUGAAGCUCAGCUUUUGUUGGGUGGAUGAGUGGCGAACGGGUGAGUAACACGUGAGUAACCUGCCUCCUUCUUUGGGAUAACGCCCGGAGACGGGUGCUAAUACUGGAUAUUCACUGGUCUUCGCAUGGGGGUUGGUGGAAAGGGUUUUUCUGGUGGGGGAUGGGCUCGCGGCCUAUCAGCUUGUUGGCGGGGUGAUGGCCUACCAAGGCUUUGACGGGUAGCCGGCCUGAGAGGGUGACCGGUCACAUUGGGACUGGGAUACGGCCCAGACUCCUACGGGAGGCAGCAGUGGGGAAGAUUGCACAAUGGGCGCAAGCCUGAUGCAGCGACGCCGCGUGAGGGAUGGAGGCCUUCGGGUUGUGAACCUCUUUCGCUCAUGGUCAAGCCGCAACAAUGGUUGUGGUGAGGGUAGUGGGUAAAGAAGCGCCGGCUAACUACGUG